CUCAAAAACCCUACACCCCUGUGCAUUCUUUCUUCUUCGUCUCUCAUUCUGUGAGUCGUCGCAGGGUCUGUGUAAACUGCUAAAGAUUUAGUUUGUAAUCGAAAAGGGGUUUGUGUGAAGCUGGGUUCUGUUGAUUCGUCUUGCCGUUGAAAAAUUUCGUGUUUAUGGUUGGUAAGGGGUUACGAUUUCUCUUUGGAAUGUUGAAGAAUUUUUUAUACCAGUUUUUGUAGCCUUGCUCUGCGAAGAAUUGCCCAUGAUUCGGAUUCAUAUGUACUAUUUGUACACCAUUGCCAAGAGUUUGUUAACCCACUUUUGCCAGUGACUGCAUACGUAGGGUGACGAAGUUAUAGUUAUGGUUGGAUUCAAGCCCAAAUUUUGAACUUGGAUGAAAUGAACCAAAUUAUUAAAUUUGUUUCGUAAAAUGAGUCAAAUUUUAAAACUA
This is a long non-coding RNA of Mangifera indica (mango), 442 nucleotides long. RefSeq lists it as uncharacterized. The record is from RefSeq and is a predicted model, not a curated record. The transcript has 2 exons. NCBI's taxonomy places the organism in Eukaryota, Viridiplantae, Streptophyta, Magnoliopsida, Sapindales, Anacardiaceae.